RNAcentral lists this ribosomal RNA (437 nucleotides) under uncultured organism. Its description in RNAcentral is "bacterial SSU rRNA". It matches the Rfam family "Bacterial small subunit ribosomal RNA", at positions 346 to 794 of the family's 1533-position model. The record is from RNAcentral.
GCGCAGCAGGCGAGAAACUUCCGCAAUGGACGAAAGUCUGACGGAGCGACGCCGCGUGAACGAUGAAGUGCUUCGGCAUGUAAAGUUCUUUUGCCAGGGAGAAAGUUUAUUGAUAGUACUUGGCGAAUAAGAGGUUGCUAAACUCGUGCCAGCAGCAGCGGUAAUACGAGUGCCUCAAGCGUUAUCCGGAAUCAUUGGGCGUAAAGGUUGUGUAGGUGGUCAUAUUAGUCUCUUGUUAAAUUCUUCGGCUUAACCGGGGGCAUGCAAGGGAAACGGUAUGACUUGAGGAUGCGAGGGGUCUGCGGAACUCAUAGUGUAGCGGUGAAAUGCGUUGAUAUUAUGGGGAACACCAAAAGACGAAGGCAGCAGACUGGAGCACUCCUGACACUGAAACAAGAAAGCGUGGGUCGCGAAAUGGGAUUAGAUACCCGCGUAGU